Molecule: long non-coding RNA, 244 nt
Filed under: Carica papaya (papaya)
Lineage: Eukaryota; Viridiplantae; Streptophyta; Magnoliopsida; Brassicales; Caricaceae
Description: long non-coding RNA (CPAP_LNC007144)
Source: RNAcentral
UUGGUAUUAGAGGUGCAUUCCUCGAAACCAUUCUUUGCACAUAUAGUUGAAAUAAAUUUAAUGUAAUUCGAAUCUCAAACCAUUAUCAUAUAAUGUAGGUAAGGAAAUGUGAGGAGAUGAAGGCCUCCGCUAAACAGAGCAGCCUGGGAGGGAUCACUACGAGAUGAUUUUGAUUUACUCUUCGAAAUGCUUGAGAGAAUGAUUUCUACCAAGUAGGCUAGAGAUGAGAAAAAGGAGUUGUCUG